RNAcentral lists this ribosomal RNA (373 nucleotides) under uncultured bacterium. RNAcentral's name for it is "partial 16S ribosomal RNA". It matches the Rfam family "Bacterial small subunit ribosomal RNA", at positions 355 to 720 of the family's 1533-position model. The record is from RNAcentral.
UGGGGAAUUUUGGACGAUGGGGGAAACCCUGAUCCAGCCAUCCCGCGUGUGCGAUGAAGGCCUUCGGGUUGUAAAGCACUUUUGGCAGGAAAGAAACGUCGCGGGUUAAUACCCCGCGAAACUGACGGUACCUGCAGAAUAAGCACCGGCUAACUACGUGCCAGCAGCCGCGGUAAUACGUAGGGUGCAAGCGUUAAUCGGAAUUACUGGGCGUAAAGCGUGCGCAGGCGGUUCGGAAAGAAAGAUGUGAAAUCCCAGAGCUUAACUUUGGAACUGCAUUUUUAACUACCGGGCUAGAGUGUGUCAGAGGGAGGUGGAAUUCCGCGUGUAGCAGUGAAAUGCGUAGAUAUGCGGAGGAACACCGAUGGCGCGA